GCCCCCUUAGCUCAGGGGAUAGAGCAACGGCCUCCGGAGCCGUGUGCGCAGGUUCGAAUCCUGCAGGGGGCACCA
This 75-nucleotide transfer RNA is filed under the name Actinomadura kijaniata. Its description in RNAcentral is "tRNA-Arg". It matches the Rfam family "tRNA". Rfam says of the family: Transfer RNA (tRNA) molecules are approximately 80 nucleotides in length. Their secondary structure includes four short double-helical elements and three loops (D, anti-codon, and T loops). The record is from RNAcentral. RNAcentral also lists the same sequence under 12 other names. Lineage: Bacteria; Bacillati; Actinomycetota; Actinomycetes; Streptosporangiales; Thermomonosporaceae.